Molecule: ribosomal RNA, 484 nt
Filed under: uncultured bacterium
Lineage: Bacteria
Description: partial 16S ribosomal RNA
Rfam family: Bacterial small subunit ribosomal RNA
Source: RNAcentral
GACGAACGCUGGCGGCGUGCUUAACACAUGCAAGUCGAACGAUGAUGCUGGAGCUUGCUCCAGUUGAUUAGUGGCGAACGGGUGAGUAACACGUGAGCAAACUGCCCUAGACUCUGGGAUAACUGCGGGAAACUGUAGCUAAUACCGGAUACUUUCACCGGAAGGCAUCUUCUGGUGAUGAAAGAAUUUCGGUCAGGGAUGAGCUCGCGGCCUAUCAGCUUGUUGGUGAGGUAACGGCUCACCAAGGCGACGACGGGUAACCGGCCUGAGAGGGUGACCGGUCACACUGGGACUGAGACACGGCCCAGACUCCUACGGGAGGCAGCAGUGGGGAAUAUUGCACAAUGGGCGCAAGCCUGAUGCAGCAACGCCGCGUGAGGGAUGAAGGCCUUCGGGUUGUAAACCUCUUUUAGCAGGGAAGAAGCGAAAGUGACGGUACCUGCAGAAAAAGCACCGGCUAACUACGUGCCAGCCGCCGCAGUAA